RNAcentral lists this ribosomal RNA (400 nucleotides) under uncultured bacterium. RNAcentral's name for it is "bacterial SSU rRNA". It matches the Rfam family "Bacterial small subunit ribosomal RNA", at positions 355 to 752 of the family's 1533-position model. The record is from RNAcentral.
UGAGGAAUAUUGGUCAAUGGACGCAAGUCUGAACCAGCCAUGCCGCGUGCAGGAUGACGGCUCUAUGAGUUGUAAACUGCUUUUGUACGAGGGUAAACGCAGAUACGUGUAUCUGUCUGAAAGUAUCGUACGAAUAAGGAUCGGCUAACUCCGUGCCAGCAGCCGCGGUAAUACGGAGGAUUCAAGCGUUAUCCGGAUUUAUUGGGUUUAAAGGGUGCGUAGGCGGUUUGAUAAGUUAGAGGUGAAAUUUCGGGGCUCAACCCUGAACGUGCCUCUAAUACUGUUGAGCUAGAGAGUAGUUGCGGUAGGCGGAAUGUAUGGUGUAGCGGUGAAAUGCUUAGAGAUCAUACAGAACACCGAUUGCGAAGGCAGCUUACCAAACUAUAUCUGACGUUGAGGC